Molecule: non-coding RNA, 23 nt
Filed under: Arabidopsis thaliana (thale cress)
Lineage: Eukaryota; Viridiplantae; Streptophyta; Magnoliopsida; Brassicales; Brassicaceae
Source: RNAcentral
CUUGAUAGAUUCAACCAAAUGGU